This 62-nucleotide transfer RNA is filed under the name Osculotes curta. RNAcentral describes it as "tRNA-Leu". Lineage: Eukaryota; Metazoa; Arthropoda; Insecta; Psocodea; Philopteridae. The record is from RNAcentral.
CUUUUGUUAGCAUAAUAGUGCUUCAAAUUUAGGAUUUGACUAUGGUUUAAAACCCACAAAAG